CAAGUUUUUAAAAAUCUUUUUAAAAAUCACAUUAAGCUGUUUUUAUUUAUUAGCCAUACCCAUGUUAUCUUUAGAAUGCUAGUAACAAUAACAUCUAUUGAAUAUGUCAACUAAGUACAAGCAUGAAAGCCACAUUGAACUGUUUUAUCUCUUUCAGACCCAGUGAGGACCACUUGCAUAUAGUACACACAAAUCAGCCCCAAGAUAAUCAGAUUCUGUUUAUUUUGUAUUGCUAGGAGCAUUCCACUAAUAUAUUUUGAGUGCAGAAACAAAUACUUUGCAAGCUGAAAAUGAAUUACCAGAAGGAGAAGGAAGCAGCUGAAAUAAGGAGAUGGGUUGCCAGGAAGAGAGCAAUAAGCAGUGAAGCAAAAGCAUAAGUAAGACCUAGAGAGGGGCUGGGGAGUCCAUGUGUUCAGAAUUACGCAGGAGAAGCCAUCAUAAGAAGCAAGAAAGUAGAAGGCCACAGCUAUCGGGGAAGCAAGACCCUCUUGGGAUGUUAAUGCUGUGAACCCCUCCAUCGUAGGCUCAGGUAUACAUAUAUAUGUGUAAAUAAAACAUAUAUCAUAAAGACACCUCAGUCUCCACUGUGCCUCAUUC
Molecule: long non-coding RNA, 597 nt
Organism: Podarcis raffonei (Aeolian wall lizard)
Lineage: Eukaryota; Metazoa; Chordata; Lepidosauria; Squamata; Lacertidae
Exons: 3
Source: RefSeq, a predicted model, not a curated record